This 484-nucleotide ribosomal RNA is filed under the name uncultured bacterium. Its description in RNAcentral is "partial 16S ribosomal RNA". It matches the Rfam family "Bacterial small subunit ribosomal RNA", at positions 30 to 507 of the family's 1533-position model. The record is from RNAcentral.
AUUGAACGCUGGCGGCAGGCCUAACACAUGCAAGUCGAGCGGAUGAAGGGAGCUUGCUCCUGGAUUCAGCGGCGGACGGGUGAGUAAUGCCUAGGAAUCUGCCUGGUAGUGGGGGAUAACGUCCGGAAACGGGCGCUAAUACCGCAUACGUCCUGAGGGAGAAAGGGGGGGCUCUUCGGACCUCACGCUAUCAGAUGAGCCUAGGUCGGAUUAACUAGUUGGUGGGGUAAAGGCCUACCAAGGCGACGGUCCGUAACUGGUCUGAGAGGAUGAUCAGUCACACUGGAACUGAGACACGGUCCAGACGCCUACGGGAGGCAGCAGUGGGGAAUAUUGGACGAUGGGCGAAAGCCUGAUCCAGCCAUGCCGCGUGUGUGAAGAAGGUCUUCGGAUUGUAAAGCACUUUAAGUUGGGAGGAAGGGCAGUAAGUUAAGACCUGGCUGUUUUGACGGUACCAACAGAAUAAGCACCGGCUAACUUCGUG